Molecule: ribosomal RNA, 492 nt
Filed under: uncultured bacterium
Lineage: Bacteria
Description: partial 16S ribosomal RNA
Rfam family: Bacterial small subunit ribosomal RNA
Source: RNAcentral
AGUGAACGCUGGCGGUAGGCCUAACACAUGCAAGUCGAACGGCAGCACAGUAAGAGCUUGCUCUUACGGGUGGCGAGUGGCGGACGGGUGAGGAAUACAUCGGAAUCUACUUUUUCGUGGGGGAUAACGUAGGGAAACUUACGCUAAUACCGCAUACGACCUACGGGUGAAAGCAGGGGAUCUUCGGACCUUGCGCGAUUGAAUGAGCCGAUGUCGGAUUAGCUAGUUGGCGGGGUAAAGGCCCACCAAGGCGACGAUCCGUAGCUGGUCUGAGAGGAUGAUCAGCCACACUGGAAAUGAGACACGGUCCAGACUCCUACGGGAGGCAGCAGUGGGGAAUAUUGGACAAUGGGCGCAAGCCUGAUCCAGCCAUACCGCGUGGGUGAAGAAGGCCUUCGGGUUGUAAAGCCCUUUUGUUGGGAAAGAAAAGCAGCAGGUUAAUAACACGCUGUUCUGACGGUACCCAAAGAAUAAGCACCGGCUAACUUCGUG